ACGAACGCUGGCGGCGUGCUUAACACAUGCAAGUCGAACGGAAAGGCCCUGCUUUUGUGGGGUGCUCGAGUGGCGAACGGGUGAGUAACACGUGAGUAACCUGCCCUUGACUUUGGGAUAACUUCAGGAAACUGGGGCUAAUACCGGAUAGGAGCUCCUGCUGCAUGGUGGGGGUUGGAAAGUUUCGGCGGUUGGGGAUGGACUCGCGGCUUAUCAGCUUGUUGGUGGGGUAGUGGCUUACCAAGGCUUUGACGGGUAGCCGGCCUGAGAGGGUGACCGGCCACAUUGGGACUGAGAUACGGCCCAGACUCCUACGGGAGGCAGCAGUGGGGAAUAUUGCACAAUGGGCGGAAGCCUGAUGCAGCAACGCCGCGUGCGGGAUGACGGCCUUCGGGUUGUAAACCGCUUUCGCCUGUGACGAAGCGUGAGUGACGGUAAUGGGUAAAGAAGCACCGGCUAACUACGUGCCAGCAGCCGCGGUGAUACGUAGGGUGCGAGCGUUGUCCGGAUUUAUUGGGCGUAAAGGGCUCGUAGGUGGUUGAUCGCGUCGGAAGUGUAAUCUUGGGGCUUAACCCUGAGCGUGCUUUCGAUACGGGUUGACUUGAGGAAGGUAGGGGAGAAUGGAAUUCCUGGUGGAGCGGUGGAAUGCGCAGAUAUCAGGAGGAACACCAGUGGCGAAGGCGGUUCUCUGGGCCUUUCCUGACGCUGAGGAGCGAAAGCGUGGGGAGCGAACAGGCUUAGAUACCCUGGUAGUCCACGCUGUAAACGGUGGGUACUAGGUGUGGGGUCCAUUCCACGGGUUCCGUGCCGUAGCUAACGCUUUAAGUACCCCGCCUGGGGAGUACGGCCGCAAGGCUAAAACUCAAAGGAAUUGACGGGGCCCCGCACAAGCGGCGGAGCAUGCGGAUUAAUUCGAUGCAACGCGUAGAACCUUACCUGGGUUUGACAUGGAUCGGGAGUGCUCAGAGAUGGGUGUGCCUCUUUUGGGGUCGGUUCACAGGUGGUGCAUGGCUGUCGUCAGCUCGUGUCGUGAGAUGUUGGGUUAAGUCCCGCAACGAGCGCAACCCUUGUUCACUGUUGCCAGCACGUUAUGGUGGGGACUCAGUGGAGACCACCGGGGUCAACUCGGAGGAAGGUGGGGAUGACGUCAAGUCAUCAUGCCCCUUAUGUCCAGGGCUUCACGCAUGCUACAAUGGCUGGUACAGAGAGUGGCGAGCCUGUGAGGGUGAGCGAAUCUCGGAAAGCCGGUCUCAGUUCGGAUUGGGGUCUGCAACUCGACCUCAUGAAGUCGGAGUCGCUAGUAAUCGCAGAUCAGCAACGCUGCGGUGAAUACGUUCCCGGGGCUUGUACACACCGCCCGUCAAGUCAUGAAAGUUGGUAACACCCGAAGCCGGUGGCCUAACCGUUGUGGGGGAGCCGUCGAAGGUGGGACUGGUGAUUAGGACUAA
Molecule: ribosomal RNA, 1448 nt
Filed under: uncultured organism
Description: 16S ribosomal RNA
Rfam family: Bacterial small subunit ribosomal RNA
Source: RNAcentral